Molecule: ribosomal RNA, 382 nt
Filed under: Rhinophoridae gen. sp. AT-2015
Lineage: Eukaryota; Metazoa; Arthropoda; Insecta; Diptera; Rhinophoridae
Description: partial 16S ribosomal RNA
Source: RNAcentral
UCGAAGGUAGCAUAAUCAGUAGUCUUUUAAUUGAAGGCUGGUAUGAAUGGUUGGACGAAAUAUUAACUGUUUCAUAAAAAUUUAUAAUAAAAUUUUAUUUUUUAGUUAAAAAGCUAAAUUGUAUUUAAAAGACGAGAAGACCCUAUAAAUCUUUAUAUUUAUAAUAUUAUAAUUUUUUGGAUUUAUUUUAUUAUAAUAUUUUAUAUUAUUUUAUUGGGGUGAUAUUAAAAUUUAAUAAACUUUUAAUUUAUUAUAUCAUUAAUUUAUGAAUAAUUGAUCCAUUAUUAGUGAUUAAAAGAAUAAGUUACUUUAGGGAUAACAGCGUAAUUUUUUUGGAGAGUUCAUAUUGAUAAAAAAGAUUGCGACCUCGAUGUUGGAUUAA